GAUGAACGCUGGCGGUAUGCUUAACACAUGCAAGUCGAACGGACUCUUCGGACUUAGUGGCGGACGGGUGAGUAACGCGUGAGAAUCUGGCUUUGGGUUCGGGACAACCACUUGAAACGGUGGCUCAUACCGGAUGUGCCGAUAGGGAAAAGAGACAUUGCCUGAAGAUGAGCUCGCGUCUGAUUAGCUAGUUGGUGAGGGAAAGGCCCACCAAGGCAGCGGUGAGUAGCUGGUCUGAGGGGAAGAGCCGCCACACUGGGACUGAGACACCGCAGAGACUCAUGCGGGAGAGAGGAGUGGAGAAUUGUACGAUAGGCGCGAGAGUCUGGCGGCGCAGUACCGCGUGAGAGAAGAAGGCUCGUGGGUUGUAAACCUCUUGUCUUAGAGGAGAACAGAGUGACGGUAACUAAUGAAGAAGCACCGGCUAACUCCGUG
Molecule: ribosomal RNA, 435 nt
Filed under: uncultured bacterium
Lineage: Bacteria
Description: partial 16S ribosomal RNA
Rfam family: Bacterial small subunit ribosomal RNA
Source: RNAcentral